Small nuclear RNA from Bombina bombina (fire-bellied toad), 191 nucleotides. RefSeq annotates it as U2 spliceosomal RNA. Lineage: Eukaryota; Metazoa; Chordata; Amphibia; Anura; Bombinatoridae. The transcript has a single exon. The record is from RefSeq and is a predicted model, not a curated record.
AUCGCUUCUCGGCCUUUUCGCUAAGAUCAAGUGUAGUAUCUGUUCUUAUCAGUUUAAUAUCUGAUACGCGCCCUAUCUGGGUGCCAUAUAUUAAAUGGAUUUUUGAAACAGGGAGAUGGAAGAAGAGCUUGCUCUGUCCACUCCACGCAUUGACCUGGUAUUGCAGUACCUCCAGGACCGGUGCACCCCUC